UCCUACGGGUGGCUGCAGUAGGGAAUAUUGCGCAAUGGACGCAAGUCUGACGCAGCAACGCCGCGUGGGUGAUGAAGCUCCUUGGAGUGUAAAACCCUGUCAGUGGGGAAGAAACGUACGGGUAGUAACUGACUCGUGCCUGACGGUACCCACAGAGGAAGUCCCGGCUAACUCCGUGCCAGCAGCCGCGGUAAUACGGGGGGGACUAGCGUUGUUCGGAUUUACUGGGCGUAAAGGGCGCGUAGGCGGACCUUCAAGUCGGGUGUGAAACCUGUCGGCUUAACUGACAGCCUGCACUUGAUACUGUUGGCCUUGAGUACAGGAGAGGAGAGCGGAAUUCCUGGUGUAGCGGUGAAAUGCGUAGAUAUCAGGAAGAACACCGGUUGCGAAGGCGGCUCUCUGGACUGAUACUGACGCUUAAGCGCGAAGGCUUGGGGAGCAAACAGGAUUAGAUACCCCUGUAGUC
This 466-nucleotide ribosomal RNA is filed under the name uncultured bacterium. Its description in RNAcentral is "bacterial SSU rRNA". It matches the Rfam family "Bacterial small subunit ribosomal RNA", at positions 337 to 795 of the family's 1533-position model. The record is from RNAcentral.